This 484-nucleotide ribosomal RNA is filed under the name uncultured bacterium. RNAcentral describes it as "partial 16S ribosomal RNA". It matches the Rfam family "Bacterial small subunit ribosomal RNA", at positions 30 to 507 of the family's 1533-position model. The record is from RNAcentral.
AUUGAACGCUGGCGGCAGGCCUAACACAUGCAAGUCGAGCGGAUGAAGGGAGCUUGCUCCUGGAUUCAGCGGCGGACGGGUGAGUAAUGCCUAGGAAUCUGCCUGGUAGUGGGGGAUAACGUCCGGAAACGGGCGCUAAUACCGCAUACGUCCUGAGGGAGAAAGUGGGGGAUCUUCGGACCUCGCGCUACCAGAUGAGCCUAGGUCGGAUUAGCUAGUUGGUGGGGUAAAGGCCUACCAAGGCGACGAUCCGUAACUGGUCUGAGAGGAUGAUCAGUCACACUGGAACUGAGACACGGUCCAGACUCCUACGGGAGGCAGCAGUGGGGAAUAUUGGACAAUGGGCGAAAGCCUGAUCCAGCCAUGCCGCGUGUGUGAAGAAGGUCUUCGGAUUGUAAAGCACUUUAAGUUGGGAGGAAGGGCAGUAAGUUAAUACCUUGCUGUUUUGACGUUACCAACAGAAUAAGCACCGGCUAACUUCGUG